This is an RNA transcript of Cynoglossus semilaevis (tongue sole), 2420 nucleotides long. RefSeq lists it as uncharacterized. The record is from RefSeq and is a predicted model, not a curated record. Lineage: Eukaryota; Metazoa; Chordata; Actinopteri; Pleuronectiformes; Cynoglossidae. The transcript is spliced from 5 exons.
CACCUCAAGGGGGCAUACAUGAACUGACAUGUGCUUUCUAGCUGCAUUGUUGACUUCAACAGAGGCAAUAUAAAGUCGACGCCAAGCUAAAGCUACUAGGUCAAACAAACAACAGCGUUUUUAUGCUCUGUGUGUUCCGACUCACUAUGGAGGAUUGUAUUUCAAGACUAAAAAGUUUCUCAAAACUGGACUCCCAGUCUAAACAGAAGAUGAUAAGUGACGGAAGACCAACGCCGCAGCUAAAAGGUUUGCUUCAAACUACGGGACAGAAGAGUCGUUCUUUUCAAAUGGAGUGGUACAAACGGAAAGACUGGCUGUGUGGCUGUCCUGUAAGAAGCCGCCUUUACUGCUUUCCUUGCCUUUUGUUCUCAUCGAGUGAUAGCGUCUGGACUAACUCGGGAUAUUGUGACAUGAAAAACUUGCAAAGAAGCCUCAGCCAACAUGAAAGAUCAGCCACGCACAUUCAAAGCCAGAUUUCCUUAAAAACUUUUGGAAAUUCAAGGAUCGAUUUGGCGGUGGAUGAACAACGGAGACUAAACGUUAGCGUCCACAAUGCUAAGGUGAAGGAAAACCGAGAGAUUUUAAAAGAUCUUAUUACUGCAACCUGUUUCUUAGCCAAACAGGAGCUAGCAUUUGGUGGUAACGACGAGAGGGCAAACUCCUCUAAUCGGGGCAACUAUGUAGAACUGUUACAUGCAUUUGCCGAGAAAGAUGAGAGGCUAGCUAGACAUUUAAAAACAUCCGCUGUGUUUUCAGGCUUGUUAAACAGGAUACAGAACGAUUUAAUUGAAGCAGUUGCUGAAGUGAUCAGAAAGGAUAUUAAAAAGGAGGUUAGUGCCGCCUCAUUUGUUGCAGUAGAAGUAGACGAGACUACUGAUAUCACAAACAAAGCCCAGAUUUCUGUUGUUUUGCGCUAUGUGACUUUAAAAAGUGAUGCAUGUGAAGUGAAGGAGGCGUUUUUGGGCUUCGGUGACGUAAGCGACGAUAGACGAGCCCCCGCCAUAGCUGCUUAUGUCUUGGGUGUUUUGGAAGAAUACAAGUGUGUUGAAAAGUUAGUGGCUCAAACUUAUGGUGGGGCUGCCGUGAUGGGAUCGGAGCUCAACGGAGUGCAGGCCAAAAUUAAAGAGAAAGUCCCCGAGGCCAUGUUCACUCACAGCUAUGCGCACAAACUAAACCUGGUCCUCAUGGAUUCAGCGAAGUGUAUGCCUGAAAUUAGAACUUUUUUCCAAACAGUUGAGGGACUCGGUACUUUUUUCAGCAAGUCCACGAAACGUACCCACUUACUGGAUGAUGUUGUGAAGCGACGUUUACCAAGAGCAGCGCCGCCACGAUGGAGCUCAAACUCCCGGAUGCUGCAGAUAAUAAGCAUGCAUCUUUCGGAUUUGUGUGCUGUAUUCCGCAUUAUAAAUGAAAAACCUGGCAGCUGGGACAAUGAAACUCUAAUGAUGGCUGCAGGAUAUGAUCGGUGGCUGUCGAAAACAUCAACGUGCUUCUACCUUAUGGCAUAUGAGGGCGUUUUUAUGGAAACUGAUGCCCUUUUUAAAGUACUGCAAGACAAAGUCAUGGACCACGGAUAUUGUUGUGCACGAAUCCGCGACACACUUUCAGUUAUUGAACACAUGAGACAGGAGUUUGACAUUUUUUACGAGAAGUAUGAGCAGAAAUGCAACGCGCUUGGCCUGACCGAUGGUGGCAGCAAACAGUCAGCCAGAGAGGAGAAGAAAAGAAUGUAUUAUAACAUCCUGGACAAUGUCGGUGUUCAAUUGAAAGCUCGGAUUGACCACUUUAGUGAGCUAGCUUUCCUUGACUUGGUCGACUUUGCCAAAAUUCAUGAAAUGUCACAUCAUAUGGACGACACCAAACUGCAGAGUCUGUCAAAGUAUGCAAGAUUCUUUGACUUUGUAAGACUAAAGGCUGAUCUUGUCGGACUGUACAGCUCACCAUCACUCAGGAAUGUAUGCCAAUCACCUGGACAGCUUCUCAGCUUUUUGGCCCAGAAGGAUCUAAUCCAGACUGUUCCAGAGGCGACAAAGUUACUCCAGCUGGCUCUCACUCAUCCAGCUACAACAUCAGUGGAGAGGUCAUUCUCUGCAUCAAAACGACUGGAAACAUACAGUAGGAAGAGAGCUGAUCAUGGACGUCUUUCUUCUUUGGCCAUAAUCGCCAUUGAGGCGGAGAGACUCUCAAAACUAAGAGCAAAUAAGGAAGACUUUUACAACCAAGUCAUAGAGCUUUUCGUGGAGAAGGAUCAGCGCAUGGACUUCAUCUAUAAGUAAAGGAUCAAGGCUACUGGGUGAUACCACUACCAGUGAUACGCAGAAACCAGCUUUCAACUUUUUUGGACUAUGGAAGGGGACGUCCUCAGACUCUAAACCAUCCAGCACAAAAGAUGACUUCGGCUUUAACCUAGAGGAUGCUCU